Molecule: unclassified non-coding RNA, 226 nt
Filed under: Hevea brasiliensis (rubber tree)
Lineage: Eukaryota; Viridiplantae; Streptophyta; Magnoliopsida; Malpighiales; Euphorbiaceae
Source: RNAcentral
GUCAGCUUCGCCUAGUGUUUUCGCAACCUGAUUUGAAGAUAGUUUCUUGGGAAUUUUGUGCACGACGUCAUGAGGAGCUUAUCCCUAGAAGAUUGUUGAUACCUCAGGUUACUCAACUUGGUGCUGCAGCUCAAAAGUACCAGGCCGCCACCCAAAAUGCCUCAUCUAGUGCGUCUGUUUCUGAGUUGCAGAAUAAUUGCAAUAUGUUUGUUGCUUCAGCUCGUCA